RNAcentral lists this ribosomal RNA (1674 nucleotides) under Escherichia coli. Its description in RNAcentral is "bacterial LSU rRNA". It matches the Rfam family "Bacterial large subunit ribosomal RNA", at positions 1271 to 2925 of the family's 2925-position model. Lineage: Bacteria; Pseudomonadati; Pseudomonadota; Gammaproteobacteria; Enterobacterales; Enterobacteriaceae. The record is from RNAcentral.
UGCUGGAGGUAUCAGAAGUGCGAAUGCUGACAUAAGUAACGAUAAAGCGGGUGAAAAGCCCGCUCGCCGGAAGACCAAGGGUUCCUGUCCAACGUUAAUCGGGGCAGGGUGAGUCGACCCCUAAGGCGAGGCCGAAAGGCGUAGUCGAUGGGAAACAGGUUAAUAUUCCUGUACUUGGUGUUACUGCGAAGGGGGGACGGAGAAGGCUAUGUUGGCCGGGCGACGGUUGUCCCGGUUUAAGCGUGUAGGCUGGUUUUCCAGGCAAAUCCGGAAAACCAAGGCUGAGGCGUGAUGACGAGGCACUACGGUGCUGAAGCAACAAAUGCCCUGCUUCCAGGAAAAGCCUCUAAGCAUCAGGUAACAUCAAAUCGUACCCCAAACCGACACAGGUGGUCAGGUAGAGAAUACCAAGGCGCUUGAGAGAACUCGGGUGAAGGAACUAGGCAAAAUGGUGCCGUAACUUCGGGAGAAGGCACGCUGAUAUGUAGGUGAAGCGACUAGCUCGUGGAGCUGAAAUCAGUCGAAGAUACCAGCUGGCUGCAACUGUUUAUUAAAAACACAGCACUGUGCAAACACGAAAGUGGACGUAUACGGUGUGACGCCUGCCCGGUGCCGGAAGGUUAAUUGAUGGGGUUAGCGGUAACGCGAAGCUCUUGAUCGAAGCCCCGGUAAACGGCGGCCGUAACUAUAACGGUCCUAAGGUAGCGAAAUUCCUUGUCGGGUAAGUUCCGACCUGCACGAAUGGCGUAAUGAUGGCCAGGCUGUCUCCACCCGAGACUCAGUGAAAUUGAACUCGCUGUGAAGAUGCAGUGUACCCGCGGCAAGACGGAAAGACCCCGUGAACCUUUACUAUAGCUUGACACUGAACAUUGAGCCUUGAUGUGUAGGAUAGGUGGGAGGCUUUGAAGUGUGGACGCCAGUCUGCAUGGAGCCGACCUUGAAAUACCACCCUUUAAUGUUUGAUGUUCUAACGUUGGCCCGUAAUCCGGGUUGCGGACAGUGUCUGGUGGGUAGUUUGACUGGGGCGGUCUCCUCCUAAAGAGUAACGGAGGAGCACGAAGGUUGGCUAAUCCUGGUCGGACAUCAGGAGGUUAGUGCAAUGGCAUAAGCCAGCUUGACUGCGAGCGUGACGGCGCGAGCAGGUGCGAAAGCAGGUCAUAGUGAUCCGGUGGUUCUGAAUGGAAGGGCCAUCGCUCAACGGAUAAAAGGUACUCCGGGGAUAACAGGCUGAUACCGCCCAAGAGUUCAUAUCGACGGCGGUGUUUGGCACCUCGAUGUCGGCUCAUCACAUCCUGGGGCUGAAGUAGGUCCCAAGGGUAUGGCUGUUCGCCAUUUAAAGUGGUACGCGAGCUGGGUUUAGAACGUCGUGAGACAGUUCGGUCCCUAUCUGCCGUGGGCGCUGGAGAACUGAGGGGGGCUGCUCCUAGUACGAGAGGACCGGAGUGGACGCAUCACUGGUGUUCGGGUUGUCAUGCCAAUGGCACUGCCCGGUAGCUAAAUGCGGAAGAGAUAAGUGCUGAAAGCAUCUAAGCACGAAACUUGCCCCGAGAUGAGUUCUCCCUGAGACUUAGAGUCUCCUGAAGGAACGUUGAAGACGACGACGUUGAUAGGCCGGGUGUGUAAGCGCAGCGAUGCGUUGAGCUAACCGGUACUAAUGAACCGUGAGGCUUAACC